This 1088-nucleotide unclassified non-coding RNA is filed under the name Hevea brasiliensis (rubber tree). Lineage: Eukaryota; Viridiplantae; Streptophyta; Magnoliopsida; Malpighiales; Euphorbiaceae. The record is from RNAcentral.
GAUAAGUAUGAUUUUCAUCUUCUGUUAUUUUAACUAAUGCCCUUGCCAUGAUACUCCAUUCUCCUUUUAUGUGUUCUCUUUAUUAACUGUCAUAUUUAUUUUCUUGGACUGUAUUCACUGAUUAGGAAAAAAGCUAACUGUUGAUAUGUUCAUUUUCUUUUCAACUUUGAUCAAAUUGAUGGCAAGUCCAAAAAAGUCACAUAGGUACUAUCUGCAGAAAAAAUGUGAAUGUACAUAUUUGAUAUUGUAUUUAUGCUAGUAGGUGUUUGACCAAUAUAUAUAUAUCAUAGCCUUGUCUUUUUCCCCCCCAGUUGUGUGACAACGGUUGUAUACUAAUUUUUUUAAUUUUAUUUUCUUAUAAUUUUCAUUUGUGCCUUAGUACAAUAUUGUGAUAAUAGAUUAAUGUGAGUUAACAAAUAGGAACUUAUUGAUUACAGGUUGAGGUGAGGCUUGUUUUGCUGCAAAUAUUUGUAUAUGUUGAGCACUCUGAAUUACUCUUUGUACCUUAGAGAUAUAUAUUGAAUGUUUUAAAACUGUGUUGAAGAUACGUCCAUUCUGAUCAUUGAUCCCAGACCUGUGUUUGUCUUGUCAUUUGUUCAAAGGGCAAGUCAUAUGAUGCUUAAUGGGGACUCAACUUUCAAGAUCAACCUUUUCAUUCAACCCAUCUACUUUUAGUUGCCAACAAUUUCUAGUCUGUGGAUGCUAUAGAGGAUUUGCUGUUUUGUCUUGCAAUUGACUCAGUAGCAUGGUCGUUUGUAUUGUCUGGUUGAAAUGAUGUUACAGAGGAUCUGCUGUUACAUCUAUCACAAUCAAAUCAGUAGCAUGGGUGUUUAUUUUAUUUAUGUUUUAUGGUUGAAGUUUCAAAUCUGGCUUUAUUUAUUUGUUCUAUCGAUCAGUUACCUUUCCUGCAGAUCUUUAGAAUAAGGCAAUGUUAAUUUCUUGCAUUAGUGUCUUUUUUUUUUCUUUUUUUUGGUCAUUUAUAGGUUGAUGGGAAGAACACACCACUUUAUUAUUAAUGUGUUUAUCAAAUUGAUUCUAACUCAAUUGCUAUUGCUGGAUUUUAGAUACAAAUUGGAUGUUGUGAGUGC